AAAUAUAACCUUAGUACCUAGAUAAACAUAGAAAAUAACAGAUCAACCAAAGCAUACGCUAGAAAACUAAUCAUAAUUAUUUUUUUUUCCUAAUCUGAUAACUUAAAAACAGGUUUUUUUCCAGCAAUCACCUACAUGAGGAUCACGUUUAGCCUUCAUUGAAUGCCCUUCCAAAAUAAACAACAUAACCAUGAAAACAC
Molecule: long non-coding RNA, 200 nt
Filed under: Trifolium pratense (red clover)
Lineage: Eukaryota; Viridiplantae; Streptophyta; Magnoliopsida; Fabales; Fabaceae
Description: long non-coding RNA (TPRA_LNC011383)
Source: RNAcentral